RNAcentral lists this transfer RNA (60 nucleotides) under Camelus bactrianus (Bactrian camel). It matches the Rfam family "tRNA". From Rfam's summary of the family: Transfer RNA (tRNA) molecules are approximately 80 nucleotides in length. Their secondary structure includes four short double-helical elements and three loops (D, anti-codon, and T loops). Further hydrogen bonds mediate the characteristic L-shaped molecular structure. tRNAs have two regions of fundamental functional importance: the anti-codon, which is responsible for specific mRNA codon recognition, and the 3' end, to which the tRNAs corresponding amino acid is attached (by aminoacyl-tRNA synthetases). tRNAs cope with the degeneracy of the genetic code in two manners: having more than one tRNA (with a specific anti-codon) for a particular amino acid; and 'wobble' base-pairing, i.e. permitting non-standard base-pairing at the 3rd anti-codon position. Lineage: Eukaryota; Metazoa; Chordata; Mammalia; Artiodactyla; Camelidae. RNAcentral also lists the same sequence under 1 other name. The record is from Rfam by way of RNAcentral.
GAGGGUAUAGCUCAGUGGUAGAGUGCGUGCUUGGUAUGGGUUCAAUCCCCAGUACCUCCA